Molecule: ribosomal RNA, 119 nt
Filed under: Cavia aperea (Brazilian guinea pig)
Lineage: Eukaryota; Metazoa; Chordata; Mammalia; Rodentia; Caviidae
Source: RNAcentral
UGCUACAGCCAUGCUACCCUGAAUGCGCCCGAUCUCGUCUGAUCUUGGAAGCUAAGUAGGGUCAGGCUUGGUUAGUAUUUGGAUGGGAGAUCGCCUGGGAAUACCGGGUGCUAUAGGCU